Molecule: ribosomal RNA, 237 nt
Filed under: uncultured bacterium
Lineage: Bacteria
Description: partial 16S ribosomal RNA
Rfam family: Bacterial small subunit ribosomal RNA
Source: RNAcentral
CGAACGGGUGAGUAACGCGUGAGGAACCUGCCUCAGAGAGGGGGACAACAGUUGGAAACGACUGCUAAUACCGCAUAAGCCCACGGGUCGGCAUCGACCUGAGGGAAAAGGAGCAAUCCGCUUUGAGAUGGCCUCGCGUCCGAUUAGCUAGUUGGUGAGGUAACGGCCCACCAAGGCGACGAUCGGUAGCCGGACUGAGAGGUUGAACGGCCACAUUGGGACUGAGACACGGCCCAG